This 352-nucleotide unclassified non-coding RNA is filed under the name soil metagenome. Its description in RNAcentral is "partial contains 5.8S ribosomal RNA, internal transcribed spacer 2, and large subunit ribosomal RNA". The stretch from base 1 to 120 matches the Rfam family "5.8S ribosomal RNA", at positions 35 to 154 of the family's 154-position model. The record is from RNAcentral.
GAUGAAGAACGCAGCGAAAUGCGAUAAGUAAUGUGAAUUGCAGAAUUCAGAGAAUCAUCGAAUCUUUGAACGCACAUUGCGCCCGCCAGUAUUCUGGCGGGCAUGCCUGUUCGAGCGUCAUUACAACCCUCAGGCCCCCGGGCCUGGCGUUGGGGAUCGGCGGAGCCCCCCGUGGGCACACGCCGUCCCCCAAAUACAGUGGCGGUCCCGCCGCAGCUUCCAUCGCGUAGUAGCUAACACCUCGCGACUGGAGAGCGGCGCGGCCACGCCGUAAAACACCCAACUCUUCUGAAGUUGACCUCGAAUCAGGUAGGAAUACCCGCUGAACUUAAGCAUAUCAAUAAGCGGAGGA